Molecule: non-coding RNA, 46 nt
Filed under: Schistosoma mansoni
Lineage: Eukaryota; Metazoa; Platyhelminthes; Trematoda; Strigeidida; Schistosomatidae
Source: RNAcentral
GUACUGCUGAGGAGUCCCACAAUAGGACGUAACGCCCGUCCAGUGC